UCACCGAAACCACUGACUUCAGUUCAGGAACGAGGGCGGGGGACCCACCAUCCCACCGGAUAACGGCGGAACGUCGAGAGACGUACCGCCUUGGGGUUAAGUCCACAACCGGACAGCAGUCCGGCGCAGGACCGGGCACCUCUCGCUCGAACCCGACAGCUUACUUCGCAGGCGCGUGGAGAGAGGAAAA
This 190-nucleotide small RNA is filed under the name Gordonia hirsuta. RNAcentral's name for it is "c-di-AMP sequence". It matches the Rfam family "c-di-AMP riboswitch aptamer (ydaO/yuaA leader)". Rfam says of the family: This family represents a conserved RNA structure found upstream of the ydaO and yuaA genes in Bacillus subtilis and related genes in other bacteria. The ydaO/yuaA element is thought to act as a genetic "off" switch for the ydaO and yuaA genes in its native state. Lineage: Bacteria; Bacillati; Actinomycetota; Actinomycetes; Mycobacteriales; Gordoniaceae. RNAcentral also lists the same sequence under 1 other name. The record is from RNAcentral.